Molecule: ribosomal RNA, 253 nt
Filed under: uncultured bacterium
Lineage: Bacteria
Description: partial 16S ribosomal RNA
Rfam family: Bacterial small subunit ribosomal RNA
Source: RNAcentral
UACGGAGGAGGCAAGCGUUAUCCGGAAUUAUUGGGCGUAAAGGGUCCGUAGGUGGUUCACCAAGUCUGCUGUCAAAGGGUGGGGCUUAACCUCAUAAAGGCAGUGGAAACUGGUGAGCUAGAGUGCGGUAGGGGUAAGGGGAAUUCCCAGUGUAGCGGUGAAAUGCGUAGAGAUUGGGAAGAACAUCGGUGGCGAAAGCGCCUUACUGGGCCUGCACUGACACUGAGGGACGACAGCUAGGGGAGCGAAAGGG